RNAcentral lists this ribosomal RNA (443 nucleotides) under uncultured Bryobacterales bacterium. Its description in RNAcentral is "bacterial SSU rRNA". It matches the Rfam family "Bacterial small subunit ribosomal RNA", at positions 337 to 797 of the family's 1533-position model. Lineage: Bacteria; Pseudomonadati; Acidobacteriota; Terriglobia; Bryobacterales. The record is from RNAcentral.
UCCUACGGGGGGCUGCAGUGGGGAAUCUUGCACAAUGGGGGCAACCCUGAUGCAGCGACGCCGCGUGAGUGAUGAAGCCCUUCGGGGUGUAAAGCUCUUUCGACAGGAACGAUUAUGACGGUACCUGGAGAAGAAGCUGCGGCUAACUACGUGCCAGCAGCCGCGGUAAUACGUAGGCAGCAAACGUUGUUCGGAAUUACUGGGCGUAAAGAGUGUGUAGGCGGUUUUGUAAGUUUGGUGUGAAAUCUCCCGGCUUAACUGGGAGGGUGCGCCGAAAACUGCAAGGCUUGAGUGCUGGAGAGGAGAGCGGAAUUCCUGGUGUAGCGGUGAAAUGCGUAGAUAUCAGGAGGAACACCGGCGGUGUAGACGGCUCUCUGGACAGUAACUGACGCUGAGACACGAAAGCGUGGGGAGCAAACAGGAUUAGAUACCCCAGUAGUCCA